RNAcentral lists this long non-coding RNA (273 nucleotides) under Monodelphis domestica (gray short-tailed opossum). RNAcentral's name for it is "lncRNA (ENSMODG00000044439.1)". Lineage: Eukaryota; Metazoa; Chordata; Mammalia; Didelphimorphia; Didelphidae. The record is from RNAcentral.
AUGUAUAAUGUCACAGAGGCCGUCUGGUGUGAUGGGAAGAGCUCUAGGGAUCACAGAAUCCAAGUGGGAAUGGAUUGUAGAGGUCAUCCAGUCCAACUCCUCCUUUUACAGGGAGUUUUAGAAAGGAAAAAAGGAAGAAGCACUUAUAUAAAAUCUACUAUAUUCCAGAAUAGGUGGCAGCAUGGGAUGUUGCUGAACUGGAAUUCGAGUCAGGGGUCCUGGGUUCAGAUUCUGAUUCUGCCACUUGCCUUCUGUAUGACUUCAGAAACCUAG